UACAGAGGUCCCGAGCGUUGUUCGGAUUCACUGGGCGUAAAGGGCGCGUAGGCGGCUCGCGAGGUCGGGGGUGAAAUCCCACGGCUUAACCGUGGAAGGGCCUUCGAUACCGGCGGGCUCGAGGAAGGUAGGGGUGCGCGGAACUUCUGGUGGAGCGGUGAAAUGCGUUGAUAUCAGAAGGAACGCCGGCGGCGAAAGCGGCGCACUGGAUCUUUUCUGACGCUGAGGAGCGAAAGCGUGGGGAGCGAACAGG
This 253-nucleotide ribosomal RNA is filed under the name uncultured bacterium. Its description in RNAcentral is "partial 16S ribosomal RNA". It matches the Rfam family "Bacterial small subunit ribosomal RNA", at positions 524 to 776 of the family's 1533-position model. The record is from RNAcentral.